Molecule: ribosomal RNA, 429 nt
Filed under: uncultured bacterium
Lineage: Bacteria
Description: bacterial SSU rRNA
Rfam family: Bacterial small subunit ribosomal RNA
Source: RNAcentral
GGGCCCGCACAAGCAGUGGAGCAUGUGGUUUAAUUCGAAGAUACGCGCAGAACCUUACCAACACUUGACAUGUUCGUCGCGACUUUAAGAGAUUAAAGUUUUCGGUUCGGCCGGACGAAACACAGGUGCUGCAUGGCUGUCGUCAGCUCGUGUCGUGAGAUGUUGGGUUAAGUCCCGCAACGAGCGCAACCCUCACUUUUAGUUGCCAUCAUUAAGUUGGGCACUCUGAAAGAACUGCCAGUGAUAAGCUGGAGGAAGGUGGGGAUGACGUCAAGUCCUCAUGGCCCUUACGUGUUGGGCUACACACGUGCUACAAUGGUAUCUACAACAGGAAGCAAAACCGCGAGGUUAAGCAAAUCCUCAAAAGAUACCUCAGUUCGGAUUGCACUCUGCAACUCGAGUGCAUGAAGCUGGAAUUACUAGUAAUCG